Molecule: ribosomal RNA, 494 nt
Filed under: uncultured bacterium
Lineage: Bacteria
Description: partial 16S ribosomal RNA
Rfam family: Bacterial small subunit ribosomal RNA
Source: RNAcentral
GACGAACGCUGGCGGCGCGCUUAACACAUGCAAGUCGAACGGAAAGGCCUGCUUUCCCUUGUGGAUUGCGGGUACUCGAGUGGCGAACGGGUGAGUAACACGUGAGUGAUCUGCCCCCAACUUGGGUAUAAGCCUGGGAAACUGGGUCUAAUUCCCGAUAGGACUGCAGGGUGGUGCCUGUGGUGGAAAACGAUUUUCUAGUGGUUGGGGAUGAGCUCGCGGCCUAUCAGCUUGUUGGUGGGGUAAUGGCCUACCAAGGCGGCGACGGGUAGCCGGCCUGGGAGGGUGGACGGCGACAUUGGGACUGAGAUACGGCCCAGACUCCUACGGGAGGCAGCAGUGGGGAAUAUUGCGCAAUGGGCGGAAGCCUGAUGCAGCGACGCCGCGUGGGGGAUGACGGCCUUCGGGUUGUAAACUCCUUUCGACCGCGAGGAAGCCACCUGGUUGGAAGGGUGGUGACGGUAGUGGUAGAAGAAGCACCGGCUAACUACGUG